AAGGAUCAUUAUCGAAAUCACGAGGGGGGAGUGCUCCGGUUGUCGCUGGCAUUUCGCUCUGCAUGUGCACGCUUGGACGUGCUUUCCCCGAUUUCUCCACACACACCUGUGAACUCGCGUGGAACGGGAAGGAGAGCCUCUCUCCGGAACUUCCAUCUUUCAUUCCACACACUCUUUCGUGACCGAGAUUGCUAUUUGAUAACAAUGAAACAACUUUCAACAACGGAUCUCUUGGCUCUC
RNAcentral lists this unclassified non-coding RNA (240 nucleotides) under uncultured fungus. Its description in RNAcentral is "partial contains 18S rRNA, ITS1, 5.8S rRNA, ITS2 and 28S rRNA". Lineage: Eukaryota; Fungi. The record is from RNAcentral.